UACGUAGGGUGCAAGCGUUAAUCGGAAUUACUGGGCGUAAAGCGUGCGCCGGCGGUUUUGUAAGUCUGUCGUGAAAGCCCCGGGCUCAACCUGGGAAUUGCGAUGGAGACUGCAAGGCUUGAAUCUGGCAGAGGGGGGUAGAAUUCCACGUGUAGCAGUGAAAUGCGUAGAGAUGUGGAGGAACACCGAUGGCGAAGGCAGCCCCCUGGGUCAAGAUUGACGCUCAUGCACGAAAGCGUGGGGAGCAAACAGG
This 253-nucleotide ribosomal RNA is filed under the name uncultured bacterium. RNAcentral's name for it is "partial 16S ribosomal RNA". It matches the Rfam family "Bacterial small subunit ribosomal RNA", at positions 524 to 776 of the family's 1533-position model. The record is from RNAcentral.